Molecule: ribosomal RNA, 1497 nt
Filed under: metagenome
Description: bacterial SSU rRNA
Rfam family: Bacterial small subunit ribosomal RNA
Source: RNAcentral
GAGUUUGAUCAUGGCUCAGAUUGAACGCUGGCGGCAGGCCUAACACAUGCAAGUCGAACGGUAACAGGAAGAAGCUUGCUUCUUUGCUGACGAGUGGCGGACGGGUGAGUAAUGUCUGGGAAACUGCCUGAUGGAGGGGGAUAACUACUGGAAACGGUAGCUAAUACCGCAUAACGUCGCAAGACCAAAGAGGGGGACCUUCGGGCCUCUUGCCAUCGGAUGUGCCCAGAUGGGAUUAGCUAGUAGGUGGGGUAACGGCUCACCUAGGCGACGAUCCCUAGCUGGUCUGAGAGGAUGACCAGCCACACUGGAACUGAGACACGGUCCAGACUCCUACGGGAGGCAGCAGUGGGGAAUAUUGCACAAUGGGCGCAAGCCUGAUGCAGCCAUGCCGCGUGUAUGAAGAAGGCCUUCGGGUUGUAAAGUACUUUCAGCGGGGAGGAAGGGAGUAAAGUUAAUACCUUUGCUCAUUGACGUUACCCGCAGAAGAAGCACCGGCUAACUCCGUGCCAGCAGCCGCGGUAAUACGGAGGGUGCGAGCGUUAAUCGGAAUUACUGGGCGUAAAGCGCACGCAGGCGGUUUGUUAAGUCAGAUGUGAAAUCCCCGGGCUCAACCUGGGAACUGCAUCUGAUACUGGCAAGCUUGAGUCUCGUAGAGGGGGGUAGAAUUCCAGGUGUAGCGGUGAAAUGCGUAGAGAUCUGGAGGAAUACCGGUGGCGAAGGCGGCCCCCUGGACGAAGACUGACGCUCAGGUGCGAAAGCGUGGGGAGCAAACAGGAUUAGAUACCCUGGUAGUCCACGCCGUAAACGAUGUCGACUUGGAGGUUGUGCCCUUGAGGCGUGGCUUCCGGAGCUAACGCGUUAAGUCGACCGCCUGGGGAGUACGGCCGCAAGGUUAAAACUCAAAUGAAUUGGCGGGGGCCCGCACAAGCGGUGGAGCAUGUGGUUUAAUUCGAUGCAACGCGAAGAACCACCUGGUCUUGACAUCCACGGAAGUUUUCAGAGAUGAGAAUGUGCCUUCGGGAACCGUGAGACAGGUGCUGCAUGGCUGUCGUCAGCUCGUGUUGUGAAAUGUUGGGUUAAGUCCCGCAACGAGCGCAACCCUUAUCCUUUGUUGCCAGCGGUCCGGCCGGGAACUCAAAGGAGACUGCCAGUGAUAAACUGGAGGAAGGUGGGGAUGACGUCAAGUCAUCAUGGCCCUUACGACCAGGGCUACACACGUGCUACAAUGGCGCAUACAAAGAGAAGCGACCUCGCGAGAGCAAGCGGACCUCAUAAAGUGCGUCGUAGUCCGGAUUGGAGUCUGCAACUCGACUCCAUGAAGUCGGAAUCGCUAGUAAUCGUGGAUCAGAAUGCCACGGUGAAUACGUUCCCGGGCCUUGUACACACCGCCCGUCACACCAUGGGAGUGGGUUGCAAAAGAAGUAGGUAGCUUAACCUUCGGGAGGGCGCUUACCACUUUGUGAUUCAUGACUGGGGUGAAGUCGUAACAAGGUA